This 465-nucleotide ribosomal RNA is filed under the name uncultured Klebsiella sp. RNAcentral describes it as "bacterial SSU rRNA". It matches the Rfam family "Bacterial small subunit ribosomal RNA", at positions 338 to 795 of the family's 1533-position model. The record is from RNAcentral. Lineage: Bacteria; Pseudomonadati; Pseudomonadota; Gammaproteobacteria; Enterobacterales; Enterobacteriaceae.
CCUACGGGGUGCUGCAGUGGGGAAUAUUGCACAAUGGGCGCAAGCCUGAUGCAGCCAUGCCGCGUGUGUGAAGAAGGCCUUCGGGUUGUAAAGCACUUUCAGCGGGGAGGAAGGCGGUGAGGUUAAUAACCUCAUCGAUUGACGUUACCCGCAGAAGAAGCACCGGCUAGCUCCGUGCCAGCAGCCGCGGUAAUACGGAGGGUGCAAGCGUUAAUCGGAAUUACUGGGCGUAAAGCGCACGCAGGCGGUCUGUCAAGUCGGAUGCGAAAUCCCCGGGCUCAACCUGGGAACUGCAUUCGAAACUGGCAGGCUAGAGUCUUGUAGAGGGGGGUAGAAUUCCAGGUGUAGCGGUGAAAUGCGUAGAGAUCUGGAGGAAUACCGGUGGCGAAGGCGGCCCCCUGGACAAAGACUGACGCUCAGGUGCGAAAGCGUGGGGAGCAAACAGGAUUAGAUACCCGUGUAGUC